This is a small nuclear RNA of Suricata suricatta (meerkat), 147 nucleotides long. Its record names the gene U12. It matches the Rfam family "U12 minor spliceosomal RNA". Rfam says of the family: Although the U12 sequence is very divergent from that of U2, the two are functionally analogous. The record is from Ensembl. Lineage: Eukaryota; Metazoa; Chordata; Mammalia; Carnivora; Herpestidae.
GUGCCUUAAAUUUAAAAGUAAGGAAAAUAAUGAUUUGGGGUGACACCUGAACGCUUACUGUUAAUGUGAGAUGAAAUUUUGAGCUGGUAGUUUGCCCUAAGGUAACCUGCCCACUUUGCAGGAAGCCUAGGAGUGGUGGUCUGCCUG